RNAcentral lists this ribosomal RNA (253 nucleotides) under uncultured bacterium. Its description in RNAcentral is "partial 16S ribosomal RNA". It matches the Rfam family "Bacterial small subunit ribosomal RNA", at positions 524 to 776 of the family's 1533-position model. The record is from RNAcentral.
UACGGGGGGGGCAAGCGUUGUUCGGAAUUACUGGGCGUAAAGGGCUCGUAGGUGGCCAACUAAGUCAGACGUGAAAUCCCUCAGCUUAACUGGGGAACUGCGUCUGGUACUGGAUGGCUUGAGUUUGGGAGAGGGAUGCGGAAUUCCAGGUGUAGCGGUGAGAUGCGUAGAUAUCUGGAGGAACACCGGUGGCGAAGGCGGCAUCCUGGACCAACACUGACACUGAGGAGCGAAAGCCAGGGGAGCAAACGGG